CCAAAACAAGUAUUGAUGAGAUGAUCAGGUCUCACCAUUAAAAAAAUCGAGCUAUUUAGCCACUAUAUAAAGUUAUAGGUCAGCAUUAGAAGCCCCAAACUCUUGACAGAGAGGCAACGGAAUGACAGAAUGGGAGCUUGUGUGGUGCCAUCUAGUGUUAGUGAGGGUAAAUUUUCCCAUAUGGCGAUCUGCUAUUCCAGCAGUU
This is a long non-coding RNA of Thalassophryne amazonica, 205 nucleotides long. RefSeq lists it as uncharacterized. The transcript is spliced from 3 exons. NCBI's taxonomy places the organism in Eukaryota, Metazoa, Chordata, Actinopteri, Batrachoidiformes, Batrachoididae. The record is from RefSeq and is a predicted model, not a curated record.